CAAGACCCAAGAAGGAUUUACUCAUGAUUUAGUAUUUCAUGUGUAUACAUCUCUGAUCAUUUUCAACUGAUUCUUGACUACCAUUAGAGGAAGAAGAUUAAACUCAGUCAUUUGCAAUGUUUUACAUGGUCAGGAACAGAGAUGAACUUAUAACUUGCAACUGAUUCUGUUCAGAAAGUGGCCUAAAGAUGAACUCAGGAAAAAGGAUGCUUGAUGAGGACCCCACAGACUGC
Talpa occidentalis (Iberian mole) is the source of this 233-nucleotide long non-coding RNA. RefSeq lists it as uncharacterized. The transcript is spliced from 3 exons. The record is from RefSeq and is a predicted model, not a curated record. Lineage: Eukaryota; Metazoa; Chordata; Mammalia; Eulipotyphla; Talpidae.